GGUGAGUAAUGUCUGGGAAACUGCCCGAUGAAGGGGGAUAAACUACUGGAAAACGGGUAGGCUAAUACCGCAUUAUGUCGCGAAGAACAAAGAAGGGGGACCUUCCGGGGCCUCCUUGCCAUCGGAUGUGCCCAGAUUGGAUUAGCUAGUUAGGUGGGGGUAACGGCUCACCUAGGGCGACCGAUCCCUAGGCUGGUCUGAGAGGCAUGACCCAGCCACAACUGGAACUGAGACACGGUCCAGAACUCCUACGGGAGGCAGCAGUGGGGAAUAUUGCACAAUGGGCGCAAGCCUGAUGCAGCCAUGCCGCGUGUAUGAAGAAGGCUUCGGGUUGUAAAGUAUUCAGCGAGGAGGAAGGCGUUGGGUUAAUAACCACAGCGAUUGGAC
Molecule: ribosomal RNA, 387 nt
Filed under: Citrobacter freundii
Lineage: Bacteria; Pseudomonadati; Pseudomonadota; Gammaproteobacteria; Enterobacterales; Enterobacteriaceae
Description: bacterial SSU rRNA
Rfam family: Bacterial small subunit ribosomal RNA
Source: RNAcentral